Gavialis gangeticus (Gharial) is the source of this 3071-nucleotide long non-coding RNA. RefSeq lists it as uncharacterized. Lineage: Eukaryota; Metazoa; Chordata; Crocodylia; Gavialidae. The transcript is spliced from 3 exons. The record is from RefSeq and is a predicted model, not a curated record.
ACGUACCUACUUGUAGGCACCUCACAAGACCAAGUGCCUCAGCUCCUCUGCACGGCGCUGAACCUGAAGCUCUUCGGCUGUUCUGCUCCGACAGUGUUGGCAGUACUUGGGGCUCCUUAUUUAAUGCCUUUUCUCCCCUGAGCAAGGGAGAGAAGGAGGAUGCACCACUGUGUCCGAGCUAGAGGUAGGAGUGCUCUGUAGCUCCAGGUCCCUCAAACAAUUGCGAGGGAUUUUUUUUUGUACACGUGUUAAUUACUUUGGCAUAACAGUACCUCGUGAGCAGACUUCCUAGGGCUGAAAGGGGACUAGACUAGAAUAAGAUGUAAAAUUGCAGCAGCUGCUUUGAGGAGUUAUUUAGGGAUGUGAUGACAAGCAUUGAAUGAAGUUGUUCAGGUUGGCUAGCUUAUUUUUCCUGCAUAACCAGUGACUUCUUCCUCUCCUGGGAAAUUUCCAUCGGUGAUUAGAGGGGUACUUGUUUUAGUGGUCUCCAUCCCCAGCCUUCCCCGUGGUCCUGGAGGUGACUGAGUGAAUGCAGGGCACCGUGGGACCGAGUGUUAUCUGUGGGUGGAUCAGGUGAUCCCUGUUUGUUUUCCCCAAGUAGCUGCUUUUAAUUAGCAUCACUUAAAAUACAUUUCCCGCGUGUGCAGUAAUGAGAGCGCUGUUCUAGCACUCAGUCCUGCCUGAGCCAGGACCACUGUACCACGCGAUGGCACUGGUAGACACUGUCUUGUCCUGUCUGGCUUGCCUUUCUGGUAUGUUAGCUCUAGACUACAUUCCCAUUUACCUGCUCAUCUUCCCUCUGCUCACCUGCUUCUGUUGCUAGCAGCAGUUGCCACUCCUUCCCUGCUCUGUCUGCUGGAGAUUUGCCACACCUGAUCUGUUUGCUUUGCUCAGGGCCAAGUUACAGCAAGGUGGGGCUUCCAGGAGCUGUUAAUGAGGCAGGCUAUAUAAGCACUGGCCUUCUUUGCAUGGAUUGUCCUGUCUUUAAUGGGCAUCAGCAACACUUGCUCCUGUUGUACCUUUGCUGGGGUUUGGUGGAGAUGGGGUGUUUCUCUUUUGGAACAGCUGGCUGUGGGGGGUGGCAUUUUGCUCCCACUGAAGUCAAUGGCAGUAUUCCCAUAGACAUUGUAGGGGCCAGGAUUUCACCCAGUCUGCUUUAACUGUCACUAGACCACAGAUGUGGCUUGGAAUAGAUGGCUUGGGAGCCUGAUCCUUCUGAGCCUGUCUCGGGGUGCCAGGGUAGGAUGAAAGAAUUGCUGCGGCACAUCUGGUCAUGCUAGCCAGCAAAGGCAGAGCUGAAGGGAAGGGAUUUGAUGGGCUGCCCUCUGUCUCUAUUUUGACUCAAGCUGGCUCUUGGCAGUACUGAUUAAGCUCUGGCAGCGUGAGGCUGAGCUGCUGUAGUAGCAACUCUGUCUAGGGGUUUCAUGGCUGGUGAGACAGGAGCAAAGGGGCAUGGGACAGGGAGCGUAGCUCAAAUACCUGGGUUCUGCCUGGUGAAUGUGGUAUCUACUGCAUUGAAAUAUUGCUGUGGAUUUCAGCAUGACCCAAACAAGUCAGGCUUUUCUUAAGCAAGGCCCUGCUGGUUGUGCUGCACAGAGGCUACAACCAGGUGCCAGCGUGAAGUGACUAAACAGUUUAGUUUUGCUGCCCAUGCUGAAUGAAGUAACCAAGCAUGCAAGCAGGGAAAUGGUAAGCUUGGCUUAAAAAAAAAAAAAGCCCACUUUCUAAUCUUGUGUUUUUGCAGAGGGUAGUAACAGGCCAGAUUCCAAUCUUGGGGUAUACAUCUGGGGUACUGAUUUUUUGCUGGGUGUUCCCUGGAUUUACAGGGGUUGAGACAUUUGGACUCUGCACCUCUGAUUUCAGAACGUAGAGAAGUGGCAGGAUGAGCAGAAAAAUCCAGGGCCCGGCUUCUGAUCCGUGUUUCCCCUUUUUCCUGUGCACAGAGCAGCUCUGGCGAGGUUGGCAAAGCAGUUUGGAUGCGCUCUUCCUGGCCUGAGACUAGAAUUGUGUCCUGCGGUUCAGAGCCUCACCACAUGUGCUCUCUACAAGAAUGAAAGCGGUGUGAUUUGUGCUCUGAUCAAAGUGAAUGAUUAAGAAAAGCAAAGUGGACCCCUGUAACCUUCCUAUUUAAAGGUUCCCUGCCUCAGGCAGUGUUUGAAGGAUCUCCUGUAACAACACCUUUGAAAAAUGUCCUGCUAUAUUUCUUUUUUAUAUAUAUAUAUAUAAAGAUUUGCUGGGGCCUGACACUUACCUGCAAAUAACCUGUGAACAAAAUGUUCUUGUUGUCUCUGGUCCUGUUCAUCAGUUGCUGUUUUCCAUACCUAAAGUGGCUUGCACAUCAGUGCCUGUCAGAGCGAGUUCUGUUCCAUUCGUCAGCUGCUUUCGGAGUCUCCUGGAUAACAAGAUCAUGCAGAAAGGGUUAUUUGGCUCUACAUUAUGGCCCAAUCUCGCCAAUGCUGUCAUGCUGCAGCAUCCUCAAAGAUCUGCGUUAGUGAUGCCAAGACAUAUCAGCUUUGGACUUUUGCUAAACUGCCCCUGGUUCCUGCCUGUUAGGUUUUCUGAACAGUGACGCAGCCCACCGUUUGCUAUAACACUUGGUUCCAGUGCUGGGUAAGGAAGGAGCGAGUCUGUUUGUUUCUCUGGGCAUUGGGUGGAUUGGCUCUGAUCUUUACAUGCCCCAGUAACUGUUUUCUCCUUGUGGCCUAAUGCAAGAUAACUAGUGUUAAGUUCUGAAAUCGUUCAAGGGUCACCGGAGCUAGCUGCUGUCUCUCUGGCUGUUGCAAAGGGCAACACUUCCUCGGGAACACGGCCGUUUCAGUUCUCGGUGUCCGGGCGUCGUUUAGACUAGGAAGAGUUAACUGCCUGAGUCAGGGUCAUUAUGUAAGCUGCAAUCUCUCUCCCUUUCUCUUUCAAAAUGCCAGGUGUCGCUUUCAAGACUCAGUGAUGAUCUCUGUGUUUUCCUUAUGGGUUUUAAUGAGAAUAGAGUACCGUCUUUAUGAACUGGUGCAUGCCUGUGAGAAAUGUAAAUGGGGAGCAGGCGUGUGCGCCAGAGCAGCUGAGCUCCUAAUCUA